Molecule: ribosomal RNA, 422 nt
Filed under: uncultured bacterium
Lineage: Bacteria
Description: partial 16S ribosomal RNA
Rfam family: Bacterial small subunit ribosomal RNA
Source: RNAcentral
GAAUAUUGGACAAUGGGGGCAACCCUGAUCCAGCCAUGCCGCGUGUGUGAAGAAGGCCUUUUGGUUGUAAAGCACUCUAAGCAGUGAAGAAGACUCCAUGGUUAAUACCCAUGGACGAUGACAUUAGCUGCAGAGUAAGCACCGGCUAACUCUGUGCCAGCAGCCGCGGUAAUACAGAGGGUGCAAGCGUUAAUCGGAAUUACUGGGCGUAAAGGUCUCUUAAUUGCGUUCAUAAAUCAUCGCUUAAAUCCCCGUGCUUAACCUGAGAACUGCAUCUGAUACUGUUAGGCUAGAAUAGGUGAACGUAACAUCUACUUCCCUGUUUCUCCAUACCCUCCGUCGCUAUCUCUAUCCCUCCCUCUCACAACUACCUCCUUCUGUCAUCAUAUUGACACUGAGGUUCGAAAGCGUGGGUAGCAAAC